RNAcentral lists this long non-coding RNA (2466 nucleotides) under Solanum tuberosum (potato). Its description in RNAcentral is "long non-coding RNA (STUB_LNC009853)". Lineage: Eukaryota; Viridiplantae; Streptophyta; Magnoliopsida; Solanales; Solanaceae. The record is from RNAcentral.
AUGGGGGAAAGCCGGGCCCAAUAUGAUGAAGAUUAUAAUUUAAGGAAUAGCGAUGUUUCUUCCAAUACAACAAGAAAUGUAAAGUUGAUGCUGAUACUUCUGUUGAAUGUAUGGAGGUUAUAUUGCUCUGUUUUUGCUUUCUGCAAAAAUUAAACACAUGUGCGUCAUUGGGUUAACGUUAGAUUGUUCGGUUAAGAUAUUAAUGGAGUGAGGCAGUGAGCGAGAAGGAUAGGGGUGUAUGUGUAUCUUACAUCAGGCAGUCGGAUGAGAUUAAAAAAGUGUGGAAGCUGGCAAGUUAUUUAUUUAAGAACCUCGACAUUGAGUAUCUUCAAACAGGGUAACUCAGCAUGUAAAAGGGUAUGCUUGGCAGAUCCAUUUGUACGAACUGCAUCCAUAAAGCUCAAUGAUCUGUACACACAAGCGCAGCCUGUUAAAUCACAUCGGAAAGAGGCGCACAUGAAAAUUGUAAUUGUAGAAUUUAUGAUCACAAUGCAUGUUUUAAAGUGAAAGUAAGUAUAAGGAGAUAAUUCUAUCGACAUAUAAAUUGCAUGGCAGCAGAAAUAACAACUAAAGCUUAAACUUUUCAUCUGUGUUCUUUACAAGUUUAAUGGAAAGCUGUAACAGGACAAAUUGCUAAGAUAAAAUUUCAAGACUUGAUAUUAAACUAAGCUCAUAAAACAUUAAGGUUACCAUUAUCAGGGCAUUUGCUAUGCCAAUGAAUACAGAAUAUCAACAAUAUAUUGUGUAAGCUCUUCAAUCGCUCCUGCAUAUAAUACAACUAUUAGAUGACUUGUUAGCAUUAUAUUUCUUACAUUGUCCUUCUCUUCAAGUAGAAGGUCUUUAUUUUAAAUGGAAACAAUGCUUAGAAAGAUACCAAGGCUUUUGAAGAUGGCUAAUGGGUAGGUAAAUUUGAAAACCGAUAUCCGAUAGGCCAAACUAUUAAGUGAAAUUAUCCGUUCGAUAAGCAGCCUAAUUCUACAUAAGAAUAUAUUUUAAAUUUGAAAAGAGUUACAUUCAAAAGAAGUCAGGUAAGCACAUAAACAAGAGCAGCUUGGUGAUAGAAAAUCUUUUUAAACCAAUACAUCCAAGAAAUUCUAACAUAACCUUUGCAAGUAAAGAAUUGGGAAAAGAAACUUUAGUAUCAGUCCAUAUGCAUUUAUAAAAGUACAUCACUAACGCGUCGAGUCGAAGAGAAGAAAUUGUUGUUGCAAAUUUGAGAAUGGAUGUUUUUGACGCAGCUGAAACAUGUUUUCUGGAAAAAAAUUGAAGAUACUUCCUAACUUGAAUAGCUUACAGAGACGUUUGUCCUGAAAUAAAUGCCCAUGAUUUUCAAGGUCAUUGAUGAAGAAGUAAGAACACAUCUUAAUCCACAUUGUUAACGUGGAGUGGUAAAAUAUUAGGAGCCUAUCAGCUUCGGUUGUCCUAUAAACAUGAGGAGUAGUCGAUCAACAAAUUACUUUUCUGGUGAAGAGACUUUCAUUCAGUUGUUCAGCAGAAAAAUGAUUCUUGUUGUAUGAUAUUUUAAGGAUCACUCAAAGCUUAAAAUACUUUCAACUUAAGUUGAGAUUGGUACAACCAUUUAUAAACUUCAAAUUUUGAAUCCUUUAUCCACAUACCUACUCUUAACUAAGAAAUUAAGUGGACGCAAGAAUUAACUACAAUCAAGAGUUACAUAUUCACUUUCUGUUAACUUGUUCUCUGUUGUUGGAGCUAUUGUAUUUCCAAUAAAAGUAUCUAAUUAAUCAAGGUUGUAGGAAGGCUACUCUUCUUUUUUGUCAAUCGAGUCGCUUUCCCUCAUUCCACUCAUUCAAUAUCAUUGAACAAAUCCGUAUGGGCAUGUGUGUAUUUCCCCUAUUUUGUGGCAUCCAACCAUAGGCACUUGAAGAGUGGUAGAUGAGUCAGUGUACUGUGUGUUAUAAAGAAAGAAAAUUCUUUCUCUCUAUUUUAGCAUCUUGCUCUUUCAUCAACAGAAGAGACACUCAUAUCUCUUCUUCUCUAUUUAGCUCUAAAUUAUAACUCUUCUGCCUCCUUGUGUGUGGUGUUGUAUCAGGUAAAUGAUUAUACUGGCUAUUGUUAUUGAUGAAUUACAUUAACAACAGACAUAAAUCAAUAGGCCACACUUUCACUUUCAGAUAACUAUUAUAGACCAAGCCUCCAUAUCAGCUGACAAUAGUUGUAGAACUUAAAUUUUGAGCUGGAGGUCAACGAACUGACCUUCUUGUAAAAGAAUGUGUUAAAGAAAUGACAUUUGAAGAACCUCCGGGGUUCCCUUCUCUCUCUCUCUCUCUUUUAGCCGUUCAAGAUACACAUUCAUAAUCUACAAAAAAAAAUUCGUUUUAUUCUUUCUUCUUUUCCAUAUUCAGCUUCACUAAAUCUUAAACUCUCUUACUCCUGGAUAGGGAACUGAACAUAAAGUAUCAGCUCAUAGUUUAACCAUGCCCCAGGUGUCAAAUAUUGCAAUAUUUC